AUUUAAUACCAAAUGGACGUGAUACAGUUAUUGUUAUGGAAAAGACCAAACUUGAAUAUAUUAGGCUCAUGUGUCAAAUGAAAAUGACUGGAGCAAUUUGUAAGCAAUUCAAUGGUUCUGGUGUAUUCAAUGGUUCUGGUGCAUUGCAAGGUUUUAAUCAAGCGGAUUGUUCGAAGUUCUUACAAUUUAUCACUGGUACAUCUAAAGUGCCGUUACAAAGUUUUGCUGCGUUAGAAGGCAUGAACGGCAUACAAAAGUUCCAAAUUCACAGAGAAGACAAGUUGACAGAUAGGCUUUCAUUUGCACAUAUUUGUUUCAAUCAACUGGAUUUGCCAGUGUACGAGACGUAUGAUAAACUCUAAACAAAUCUACUCAAGGCGACUUACGAAUGCACCAAAGAAUUUGGAUUUGCAUAAGCUUACCAGAAUUUGCUCCAGUACAAUUUCGAUUUCAAUCGAUACAAUUUCGCGUUCAAUCGAUGAUAUUCUAGAGACCAAACUUAUGGUUGGAUCUUUACAGCCAGUGAUAACAUUCCGGACGUGCAAUAGCCUAUUGCUUGCAAAAUUUUUAACGUACUUACAAAAAUUGUUAUACGCAAUGUUAUAUAUAAAACUGUUGCCUGGGGUACUGAUUUUAGGGACCACGUUUCUUUCUUGAUUAUUUUUAUGUUCAUGACUGAAUCAUAGACAUAGGCUGAUGGCAGAGAACGAGACGUAAGAGAAGUGACGUGACGUAACGUGACGUUGGGUAAGGCAGAGAAAAGCCGUAAGGAUCAUUUCUGCUCCAUCUGAGGUGUUAAAAUCUUCAUCACCAUUAUCAAUACUGUCGUCUUCAUCAUCUGUAUCUUCAUCUCCAUCCCUAUCUUCAACCCCAUCUUUAUCGUCAAGUAUUAAUGAAAAUUCGUCAUUAAUGCAAUCAUGCGUAAAAUCUACGCCAGAAAAUCAAGAAAUUUCGUCACCAGUACAACCAUGCAUAAAAUCUACGCCAGAAAAUAAAGCAAUUUUGUCAUCAAUGCAACCAUGCAUAAAAUUUAUGCCAGGAAAUAAAAAAACAAAGCAAAAUGUACACUUAUUCAAGAAGCGGACGAAGUUGACAAAUCGUUUAUGAAUUUAUCAUCUGUUAUGUCUCAACAUUUCUCAGGUAAACAAAAAAUGGAUGAAGAUGAUAUUUUUGAUAGCACAAUUGCAUUUUAAUUACGUAAAAUAGAAGAACCACGGAAGACACAAUUAAAAGGAAAGAUUAUGAAGAUUUUAUAUGAGUUUUAAAGAUAAUUUUUUAUUACAUCUUAUAACAAUUAUGUUAAAAUCACAUUAGGUUUGCUCUCUGUAACUGAAGAGGCUGCACUAGUUGAGUUUAUCUUUUUCUUUCCAAUGUGGAGUAAAAAAGAUAAACUCUGAACUAGUGUAGCCAGUUCAGCUACAAAGAACAAACCUAUUGAUUCAUGUCGAGACGGUUCUUGUUGUACAACUGCAGUACGGUUUGCAUAAUUGCAUACAAAUAUACAGCAAUCUUAGAGCAAUUGAAUAUUUUAAGUGCAAGUGAACAUUUUAAGUCAAAAUGUUAAGUUUCAUUGCAUGGACAAAAGCAUAUAAGACUGAUAAUUUUUUGUUUUUUUUUUAGUUACUACAUAAUUUUGUCUGUGGAUAAUAUUUAAUUUGUUGUUUUUAUGCUUUAUAAGUUGUUGUGCACUAAAAGACUUAUAUUAAACGUUUUGUUUAUUUGAAGUUUUUUUUAGUUUAUUUUCUUUUUUAUUUUAUUUUCUAUUACAAAUAAAAUAAGCAUAAAAUUUUUGUUUGCUUGAAAAUAAACUUUUAUUUAUAACUUUAAGACGUAUUAACGUGUUCUAUGAUAAUAAAUAUUAUUUUGCUCAAAUGUAUUAAAAUUUUUACAUUUCAUUACAAUCAAAACCAAAGUAAAAGUGAUAUUAAGUUAUAUGCAUUGUUGCCACUUGUUUUGCAUUAAUUAUAUAUGUAAUUCAGCACAUAGAUAUGUAUAUUUUUGUACUUUUGAUACAGAAAUAAAAAAGUAAAAAUAG
This is an RNA transcript of Solenopsis invicta (red fire ant), 2035 nucleotides long. It is a transcript of the gene named E3 ubiquitin-protein ligase HUWE1-like, with no coding region annotated. Lineage: Eukaryota; Metazoa; Arthropoda; Insecta; Hymenoptera; Formicidae. The transcript has 5 exons. The record is from RefSeq and is a predicted model, not a curated record.